RNAcentral lists this ribosomal RNA (406 nucleotides) under uncultured bacterium. Its description in RNAcentral is "partial 16S ribosomal RNA". It matches the Rfam family "Bacterial small subunit ribosomal RNA", at positions 29 to 526 of the family's 1533-position model. The record is from RNAcentral.
AUUGAACGCUGGCGGCAGGCCUAACACAUGCAAGUCGAGCGGAGCGGCGGACGGGUGAGUAAUGCCUAGGAAUCUGCCUGGUAGUGGGGGAUAACGUCCGGAAACGGGCGCUAAUACCGCAUACUAUCAGAUGAGCCUAGGUCGGAUUGGCUAGUUGGGGGGGUAAAGGCCUACCAAGGCGACGAUCCGUAACUGGUCUGAGAGGAUGAUCAGCCACACUGAAACUGAGACACGUUCCAGACUCCUAGGGAGGGCAGCAGUGGGGAAGAUUGCAGAAUGGGCGCAAGCCUGAUGCAGCCAUGCGGCGUGUAGGAGGAAGGCCUUCGGGUUGUAAAGUACUUUCAGCGUGGAGGCGUUACCCGCAGAAGAAGCACCGGCUAACUCCGUGCCAGCAGCCGCGGUAUAC